AAGCACAAUGAGGUUUCCUAACAAACUAAAACAUGUUUGCUUCAGGGGACGCAUGACGCUGAGAAGAAGAAUGAAUCUGUGUUGUUGAUGUUUGUAUUGACAUUUUAACAACUUAGUAUUGUACUUAUUUCUGUGUUAUUCUUCCUUCUUACAGAAGGCCAUGUAUUAACUCUGAUGAAAUAUUUUGCUCUAAUAAUCUGUUAAACUUGAUCCAGUUCUGACCAGAACCUUUUGCUUCUGAUGUGGGGCUGUAAAGCCCAUUCACAUGUUUCAGAAACAUGGACUUAGUGUUAUUUAAAUGUAUUUAACAUUAAUGCUAGCUGGUAGUUGCUACGCUAGUUGAUUCAGGGGUUUAUUGAGAAAGUAAUUUAUGGAGCAUCUUUAUGUAGCUGUUAGCAUAACAAAGUCUAAAAAGACUUUCUGCUGAGAUCAGGUAUGGCUUUUAGAAGGAGUCUGAUUAGAAUAUUUUGCAAACU
Molecule: long non-coding RNA, 476 nt
Organism: Sander lucioperca (pikeperch)
Lineage: Eukaryota; Metazoa; Chordata; Actinopteri; Perciformes; Percidae
Exons: 2
Source: RefSeq, a predicted model, not a curated record